This 465-nucleotide ribosomal RNA is filed under the name uncultured bacterium. Its description in RNAcentral is "partial 16S ribosomal RNA". It matches the Rfam family "Bacterial small subunit ribosomal RNA", at positions 338 to 795 of the family's 1533-position model. The record is from RNAcentral.
CCUACGGGCGGCAGCAGUAGGGAAUCUUCCACAAUGGGCGCAAGCCUGAUGGAGCAACACCGCGUGAGUGAAGAAGGGUUUCGGCUCGUAAAGCUCUGUUGGUGGAGAAGAACGUGCGUGAGAGUAACUGUUCACGCAGUGACGGUAUCCAACCAGAAAGUCACGGCUAACUACGUGCCAGCAGCCGCGGUAAUACGUAGGUGGCAAGCGUUAUCCGGAUUUAUUGGGCGUAAAGCGAGCGCAGGCGGUUGCUUAGGUAUGAUGUGAAAGCCUUCGGCUUAACCGAAGAAGUGCAUCGGAAACCUGGCAACUUGAGUGCAGAAGAGGACAGUUGAACUCCAUGUGUAGCGGUGGAAUGCGUAGAUAUAUGGAAGAACACCAGUGGCGAAGGCGGCUGUCUGGUCUGCAACUGACGCUGAGGCUCGAAAGCAUGGGUAGCGAACAGGAUUAGAUACCCUUGUAGUC